Molecule: transfer RNA, 72 nt
Filed under: Ictidomys tridecemlineatus (thirteen-lined ground squirrel)
Lineage: Eukaryota; Metazoa; Chordata; Mammalia; Rodentia; Sciuridae
Description: Spermophilus tridecemlineatus (thirteen-lined ground squirrel) tRNA
Rfam family: tRNA
About the family: Transfer RNA (tRNA) molecules are approximately 80 nucleotides in length. Their secondary structure includes four short double-helical elements and three loops (D, anti-codon, and T loops). Further hydrogen bonds mediate the characteristic L-shaped molecular structure. tRNAs have two regions of fundamental functional importance: the anti-codon, which is responsible for specific mRNA codon recognition, and the 3' end, to which the tRNAs corresponding amino acid is attached (by aminoacyl-tRNA synthetases). tRNAs cope with the degeneracy of the genetic code in two manners: having more than one tRNA (with a specific anti-codon) for a particular amino acid; and 'wobble' base-pairing, i.e. permitting non-standard base-pairing at the 3rd anti-codon position.
Source: Rfam by way of RNAcentral
UGGGUUAUGGCUCAGUGGUAGAGCAUUCUCCUAGCGUAUAUGAGGUCCUGGGUUCAAUUCUCAGUACCACAU